GAACACCCCCCCAACCGAUUUUUUCUUCUCCUCGCCACCACCACGUCCGGCCAUCAAUUCCGUCGGCACCGGUCUCAAAAGAACCAGCUCGUCCUCCUCUACACGUCUCAGCCCUCAGCCGCUCCACUCCGCCGCUGACGUCGCCGGAAUUUGCAGAAAAUCGGUGGUUUUUUCCGAAAAUUCAAACCGUUCGUUCUCCC
RNAcentral lists this long non-coding RNA (200 nucleotides) under Prunus persica (peach). Its description in RNAcentral is "long non-coding RNA (PPER_LNC005686)". The record is from RNAcentral. Lineage: Eukaryota; Viridiplantae; Streptophyta; Magnoliopsida; Rosales; Rosaceae.